UUGAAUUUUCAUUUUUCUUCUCCCUCCCAAUCCUGAUAAAAUGGCAGUAUGUACCCCUAAUGCCUCAAUGUCUUCUAAUUAUCGCCUCAUUUUGAACUCUUUUUUAUCAUUCAAAGGUUAAACUACUGCACAAAGAGCUGGAGGCUCUGAAGGAAGCCGGGGCAAAGGCUGCAGAGAGUCUGCAGAGGGCAGAGGCCACCAACGCCGAGCUGGAGAGGAAGCUCCAGAGCCGAGCCGGGGAGCUCCGGGACCUGGAGGCCAUGAGCUGCGCCCGGUGCGCGAGUCCUUCGUCUCCCGAGGCGUGCUCUGUGGCAGCCUCGCAGGCCAGGACCGGAGUCUGGGGGAUUCUACCUUUUCUGCUCAUUCCAGGCUGGUCUUUGCUUUCAUCUCACUUGCUCCUUCCAUAAAUAUUUGUUUCUUUUCAGGGUAAAGGACUUAGAGGAUAAACUUCACUCUGUGCAGCUAACCAGGAAGAAGGAAGAGGAAACAUUUAAGAGGAAGCAUGAGGAGCUCGACCGUCUGGCCAGGGAGAAGGAUGCGGUGCUGGUGGCGGUGAAGGGAGCCCACGUGGACCAGCUGCAGGAGCUGCAGGCCAGGGUUCUGGAGCUGCAGGCCCACUGCGAGACCCUCGAGGCGCAGCUCCGCAGGGCAGAGUGGAGACAGGCUGACACCGCUAAGGAGAAGGACGCUGCCAUU
Molecule: small RNA, 696 nt
Filed under: Pongo abelii (Sumatran orangutan)
Lineage: Eukaryota; Metazoa; Chordata; Mammalia; Primates; Hominidae
Description: retained intron
Source: RNAcentral